This is a long non-coding RNA of Micropterus salmoides (largemouth bass), 385 nucleotides long. RefSeq lists it as uncharacterized. NCBI's taxonomy places the organism in Eukaryota, Metazoa, Chordata, Actinopteri, Centrarchiformes, Centrarchidae. The transcript is spliced from 3 exons. The record is from RefSeq and is a predicted model, not a curated record.
UUAAGACUGAAAGUAAGGUUUUCCUUUGUUCACAAGAUUUUUUUCAUCGUGCAAGUUACCAUACAGCCAGUAAUUUCAAUCUUAAUCAUGUCUAAAACUACCAGAUUAAUAACAGAAUUUAUUUAUAUAAAUGUUCUUGUAGAGGAGCCUGGUGGAAUGACAAACCUAAUGUGUGAGAUCCUGGCUGGUCUGGCUGUUUUCUUCACUAUAGUCAUAAUUGUUCUGGCUGUUAAAAUCAGAAAACUUCAGACAGCUCUGAAUGAAGAACCGCAGCCAAAGGAAAACAAGAAUCUGGGCUCAGAUGAACUGAACUACGCAGCUUUAAGCUUCCAGCCAAAAGCAAAAAGAAACCGCAGGCCUGAGAGAGAACUGGAGCCAAAUGUUG